UGAGGAAUAUUGGUCAAUGGACGCAAGUCUGAACCAGCCAUGCCGCGUGCAGGAUGAAGCAUCUAUGGUGUGUAAACUGCUUUUAUACGGGAAGAAACCCUGCUACGUGUAGCAGCUUGACGGUACCGUAAGAAUAAGGAUCGGCUAACUCCGUGCCAGCAGCCGCGGUAAUACGGAGGAUCCAAGCGUUAUCCGGAAUCAUUGGGUUUAAAGGGUCCGUAGGCGGCUUUAUAAGUCAGUGGUGAAAGCCCAUCGCUUAACGAUGGAACGGCCAUUGAUACUGUAGAGCUUGAAUUACUUGGAAGUAACUAGAAUAUGUAGUGUAGCGGUGAAAUGCUUAGAUAUUACAUGGAAUACCAAUUGCGAAGGCAGGUUACUACAAGUGGAUUGACGCUGAUGGACGAAAGCGUGGGGAGCGAACAGG
Molecule: ribosomal RNA, 424 nt
Filed under: uncultured Flavobacterium sp.
Lineage: Bacteria; Pseudomonadati; Bacteroidota; Flavobacteriia; Flavobacteriales; Flavobacteriaceae
Description: bacterial SSU rRNA
Rfam family: Bacterial small subunit ribosomal RNA
Source: RNAcentral